Parasteatoda tepidariorum (common house spider) is the source of this 2530-nucleotide long non-coding RNA. RefSeq lists it as uncharacterized. The record is from RefSeq and is a predicted model, not a curated record. NCBI's taxonomy places the organism in Eukaryota, Metazoa, Arthropoda, Arachnida, Araneae, Theridiidae.
CUCUUUUUCCUUCUAUGAAAAAUCCUGUUUGUUAACAAGGAAGUUAUAACUGAUUGGUUUACUUAUUGUCUUAAUGCUAACUUGUUACUGUAACAGUAAAUUCUGAUUUAGUUGUUUUUUUUUUUGUGGUUAUAAUGAUUUUUUUUUUUGUAGUGAGACAUAAUUUUAUUCAAAUUUGUAUAUAAUACAAAGCUGACAACUCUACAGGAUUUUGCCAUUUUCUCUUGGUCUACUGGUUUAAUAAAAAAAAUUUCCUGGUUUUCGUACAUUUUAAAAUAUUCCCUGAAAUUGACUCUUCUAAUACUGUUGAAAGAUCAAUCCCCAGAUGUGAGAAUCAGAGUAGCUGAAGCAUUGACCUUAUUACACCAUUAUUGAGUUUAGACGACUUCCUUUGUUUGUUCUGCCUACAAGAACUGAAGAAAAAAUGUGCUUGCAACCUUUUUUUAAAAAAACGAAAACACAACAACACAUAUAUAUAUACAUACUUAUAUACAGUUUUCAAUGUGUUGUGAGUAACAAUAUAUAACUAACAAUAUAUUGUUAGAACAGGGAAUGCCAAUGGAUAUUGGAUUUUCCACGAUGAUCACAUAUUCCGAUUUUUUUACUCUUGUAAAAAUUUUAAAUUACAGAAUUUUUAUUGUGUCAUUUUUUAAAUUUAAUUGCCAUUAUUAAAUGUUAAGUUUAUUAUUGUUGAUUUUAUUAUUCCGUUGCCUAUUCUGUUCGUUGCCUAUUCUGUUGGGACAAAAUUGAAACCUGAUCAUUUUGUUCAGUUAUCAUUGGAACUUCAUUUACAAUUUUGCUUUUAUAAUUCCUAAUACUGUUGGGAUGAAAUUGAAAUCUGAUAAUUUUGUUUGGUCACUGUUGAAACUUCAUCGACAACCUUUUUUUUAAAAAAAAAUUCCUGUUUCAUGAUUAGUUAUUAUAAAAACUUUUAUUAUCUGUUUAUUACCCAAAAUAUAUAACAACUAUGUGAAAAGUUAAUUUUUAAUGUCUUACAAUUUUGUAUUAAUUAUUUUUAUUACAUUUUUUGACUGGUAUGGUUUAAUGUAAAACAUAUUAUGAAGGCGAAUGUAACGUAUUUGUUACUUUAUAAUUGCAAACGUAGUUACAUAACGUUUUAAAUAUGUUUAUUUUUGAAUGUUUUACACAUCUAAUUUUGCAUAAUAAUCAAAAUCUAUGUAAUAAUAGCAGAGAAGAGAAAUAAAGUAUAAUAAAUAAAUAUAGCUUUAAAAGGUUAUAGGUUGUAAAUACAAUUAGAUAAAAAUACAGAAGAAAUAUUUUUCAGGUACAAAAUGCCUUCAAAGCUUUAAUAUUUUGCCAAAGGCAACUAAGAAAAUCUAAAUUAUUAUUAGGUAAGAAUCAUGUUACAAUCAAUAGAACAACGAGCAUAAGUUUGAUCAUCAAGAUUCUAUAGUAUUUCAUUCAAUUUGGUUGAUUAAAUGGAACAUUGAUAUUUCAAUUAUACAUAGAUAUUAGUUUAUUAGACAACUGUGUUUCCUUUUCUCUAUGAAUAAUAAUUAUAUAUAUAUUGAAAUACUUUUGAUUUUUUUUCUUCAUAAAACUGGGGUGCUUUAUGCUUACCAUAGAGUACCUUAUACCCAAACUUUCCUGAGAUAAUGGGGUGCUUACCAAAAUACCUAAGGGACCAUUGUGGCCCCUCUUGUCAUUCUAGGUAUAAAGUUCUAUAUAUACAUACAUUUCUAUUAAGCUAACACAUGAAUGAUUAAAUGAGCUCUUAAAUUGGAUCAAAUUAUGAAAAGUCAGAAGUACUCAACAUUUUUAAUAAGUUUGUUUUUAAAUUUCAGAGCAACAAAAUACCAGAGGGGUAUUUAUUAAACUUGCGAGUGUAAACAAUGAAAACUGCAGCUAGGAAAUUUUUGAGAAAGCAAGAACUAUUAACUUUUUAUAUUAUUGCUUUUUUUUGAGAGGUUGAAAUGUCAGAAGCUAAGCAAACCAAAAUUGAUUUAAAAAAAUUAUUAUUAGUUCUAAUGCUCUAUAAAAUUUCUUUUUUUUUACUACAAAUAAUAAAUACUACAUAUUUUUGGCAUUUUAAGUGCUUGCUACUAAAAAUUAUUUUAAAGCGUUUUCAGAUUAUUUUGCUCUAAACAAAUAUUGGCUUGUCUAAUUGGUAGAUUUAAAAAUAUGUGGAAUGAUGCUAAGUCUCGCGUUUCACGGGUAGUGUUAAAGAUUUUUCUGUAUAAAGAAAUAAUUCCUUAGACUCUCUUUUAGAUGUAAUUCCUUUCCUUUGUCUACUAACUGACCCUCUUGAUUUUUUUUUUGGGGGGGGGAGUCAUCUUUGUUUCUCGCUAUCACAAAACACAUUUUCCUCAAAGAAAAAAAUCAUUCCAUUAAAUGUUCUUUAAAUUUCUGUUGUUAUGUUUAAAAAAUAGUGCCAAUCUGUACUUCAAUGCUAAUGUUUGCUUUUCUUGUGAAUAACCAGUUGUGUUUUAUUAGUUUGCUUCUUUUUGUCUAAUUUUCUUUUAAUAUAAUUUUUGAAGAAUUACAAUAAAAACAUAUUAUUUAUCUUACA